Long non-coding RNA from Hyla sarda, 1963 nucleotides. RefSeq lists it as uncharacterized. The record is from RefSeq and is a predicted model, not a curated record. NCBI's taxonomy places the organism in Eukaryota, Metazoa, Chordata, Amphibia, Anura, Hylidae. The transcript has 2 exons.
GCAUGCCCGGACAGCCGUUGGCUGUCCGGGCAUGCUGGGAGCUGUAGUUUUGCAACAGCUGGAGGCACCCUGGUUGGGAAACUCUGGCCUGGAGUCUUGAAAGAUAAAGGUAGGGAAUCCAUCACCAGAAAGAAGCACUGUAGGUGGCGGUGCCAGGCGGCGACACUUUUGUUUUUAACUUGUGCAUAUAGCAGUAUUGUGUAACCACUGUGCAAGGCCUCUCCUGCCGGGGCGGUUGCUAUGGGUUACAGCACAUGUUCUGCUUAUACUGCCUUUUUAUUGAUAUGAAUUUAAUCUGGGCCAGGAUCACGAUAUAGACAAGUAUUUUACCACGAUCCGCGUUCUCUGCAGCCAAAGAAACACAAUUUACUGAGCCAAAAUCCCAUACGCUUCAGAAGCCUCCACAAGUCUUCACUAGGGUCCAGAACACUCGUGCAAACAGCGGGAUCGGGCCACUAUGGUGCAGAACACACACUCGUGCAAGCAGCGUAUUGCCGCUCCGAGCAGGCACAUGUAAAGGCAGCACACAGCGGUACUUCAGCGGCGGAUCCGCAGCUAAAUACGCCUGGAAAAUCCGCUCGUCUGAACGUGCAGUGUUUCCCAACCAGUGUGCCUCCAGCUGUUGGAAAACUACAACUCCCAGAAUGGCAGGACGGUCCCGGCAUUCUGGGAGUUGUAGUUUGGCAACUGCAUGAGGCACACUGCCUUAAUGUUUAGGCUGCUUAAAAAUAUGUCAGGUUUUUUUAAGGGCUUUUCCCAAGAUUACCAAUAAAGAAGAACACUUUGGUUAUGACAACCAUUUUUUUUAAUCAGUUGUGCUCAGACCCUGAGUGAUCACAAGAACGGCCGUACGCCUCUCUCCCUGCUCUGUAAGAGCAAGAUGACCCCAUAGACUUGCAUUAGAAGACUGUCUGAUGCCCCCCCCACCCCCCCCCCAUUAUGACAAUAGGGAUCUCAUGAGGACUAGAGCAGCAGCCAUUUACAUUUACUCUCUAGGACCGCUGAAGAGACUCUUGUCAGUCCCAUAGAGGGUUAAUAAAUUGGCAGUGUGUAUGGAUGACGGCUGUUCUUCACAAUGGGGGGGGGGGGGGGGGGAUAUGAGGCCCCUGUUUGUGAUUAGUGGGGGUCUCAAUGGUCCUUCUGCCACCAAUCAAAGACUUAUUCCCUACGCUGUGUUCAAGGUGUAUUCUUUGGAUAACCCCCUUAAAUCAGUAAAGGGGUACUCCGCUACUACGCUGGAGCCGGGAGCUCGUGACGUCAUAGCCCCACCCCCUCAUUAAGUCAUGCCCUGCUCCUCAAUGCAAAACUUUCAUUGAGGGGGUGGGGACAUCAUGAGGGGGCGGGGCUAUGGCAUCACGAGCUCCCUGCGCCGGCUCCUGGGUUCGGAACAGUUUGUUCCAAACGCUGAGGAGCAGACUACCCCUUUAACUUGGUACAGUCUUGUGUCUGUACUGUCUGGCAGACUGUCCACAGCGUCUACCAUGAGGGGAAACCAUUCAUAGAAAUUGGAUUUUAACCCUUCGGAUAGUGUGCAUGCCAGGCUAUCCUAUUCUUGGCAUAGGCAUCUUUGGUUGAGGUCAUGGCAUAUGAUCCAUGGGUAUUCAGAGUUGGUAGGUAAUACCCACCUUAGUGCAUAGAACAGAGGCCUUCAGCCUGGACUGGAAAUGUGUGGAUAAGUGAGAUCCAGAGCAGACCCUUGGCUUUCUGUCAUGUCAUCUAAAGCGGUGGCCUCCAAACUGUGGACAUCCUGUUGGGGCAAAACUGCAACUCCCAGCAAGCUCAUAGUUUUGUAUCAUUUGGAGGUCCACAGAUUAAAGACCACUGCUCUAAGGGGUACAAAUGCAUGGAAGUGAAUGGGGUCACGUUGCGACCUACAAAUAGCCACAACCUGGCAGCUGCAAAGAAAUCUCUCAGGACUGUCGGGAUACAGUUGCGGCCACUUUUAAGUCACAUCGUGACCCAA